Small nucleolar RNA from Cynara cardunculus var. scolymus (artichoke), 103 nucleotides. RefSeq annotates it as small nucleolar RNA Z43. The transcript has a single exon. Lineage: Eukaryota; Viridiplantae; Streptophyta; Magnoliopsida; Asterales; Asteraceae. The record is from RefSeq and is a predicted model, not a curated record.
GGACAGUGAUGACAUCAUGUGAUAAGGUCUCGUUCGUCGUAAUGGUGAGCUUCUUCUCACCUUGCCGACCACCCUGUUAUAUCACCACCCAUAAACUGAGUCC